GUGUCUGUAGCUCAGUGGAUAGAGCGUUUGCUUCCUACGCAGAAGGUCGUAGGUUCGACCCACACCUCACGCG
RNAcentral lists this transfer RNA (73 nucleotides) under Spinacia oleracea (spinach). It matches the Rfam family "tRNA". From Rfam's summary of the family: Transfer RNA (tRNA) molecules are approximately 80 nucleotides in length. Their secondary structure includes four short double-helical elements and three loops (D, anti-codon, and T loops). Lineage: Eukaryota; Viridiplantae; Streptophyta; Magnoliopsida; Caryophyllales; Amaranthaceae. The record is from Rfam by way of RNAcentral.